Molecule: long non-coding RNA, 5194 nt
Filed under: Nicotiana tabacum (common tobacco)
Lineage: Eukaryota; Viridiplantae; Streptophyta; Magnoliopsida; Solanales; Solanaceae
Description: long non-coding RNA (NTAB_LNC000859)
Source: RNAcentral
AAAGAUUCGUUUGUGGCGACUGAUGAAUUGUCACCACUAAUAUGAGGUUGUUGUAGCGACUUGGAAGCCGCCCCUAGAUAUACCCAUCUAUUGUGGCAGCGAAGUCGCCACUAAUAAUUUUGAUUUUAAAAUGAAAGAUUACAAAAACAAACCCUAGACAAACGAGAAAAAACACCCCCAAAAUCAUUUUCUACAAUACACUUCUCAACAAAGUUCCAUCGGCUGCGAAAUUCUGGAUCCUCUAUCCCUUUGCUGUGACCGGCAAACUCAUCGACAAUUCCUUUACCGGUAAAUAUUUCCGUCGGUUCUUCUCUCUCUAUCGCUCUCUUCCCUUUUAGAUUUCUUACCUUUGUCUCUGUUUUAACUGUGAAUCUUAGUUCGUGCAAAUAUAAAUAAGUUCUUCUAUUCUGUUUCUUCUUUGCCUUCUUAUAUCUUGAAGUCUUUCAACUCUAUAGGGAAAAAAACCCCUUUCUAAAAGUUUUUGCUAUUUUCUUAACCUAAAUAAAAAUGGCGAGAGAGGGACUAGAUGAAAAUUGGAAGGAGUAAUUGACAAUUAUGGAGUACAAUUAAGAUAUUUCACCCUCGGUAUGAGACGAUAUUUUCUUGGCAAAGCAUGAGAAUAUUUUAUCAAUAUUUUCUUGACAAAGAAUGUGGACAAGUGUCCUUUCUAUGAUACUUUCCGAAAAAAUGGAGUUCCUCUCAAUUUAUUGCUUGUAGCUGAUGAUUUUGCAUCUUAAUUUUUGGGAGUAGGUUGGUGGUAUUAGAUCUCACUAUCUGUUAAAUAAACUGGAGAUCUCUAUUUUGAUUGCUAAAGUAAAUUACAAUAUUUUGUAUUGGAACAUAAAUUGGUUUCUGCUUAAAUUGAAAUGGCUUACUAGAGAAGGGUGAUGCUUAAUUGAAAUUGUUGUUGGUUCAUUGUGCCCUAUAACAGAUCCUCAUUUGGAUGUGCAUAUAGUGUUUCCAAUUAUUCAUGUCGUAAAAUAUUAAAAAUUCUACACGCAUGAAAAUAUUUUCCUAAUGUUCAGUUAUACGGACCAUCGGUGAUGAUUGCCGAGUUUAAGCAGAUAGUACCUGAUUUUAAGAAGCAAAUGCUGAUAUCAUCAGCAUUUACUGUAAGCAAUCUUCCACCAUUAAAUUAUAUUAUAGAAUAAAUUAGAAAAUGCCUUGGUUUGUUUGAAGCUCCCUUUAUUACAAUUGGUGUUGACUUCUGUUCACUUUUUAUUAAAAUUUGAACUUGAAAUCUGGUAAAUCAAGCAAUAUUUAAUUAUAGAUGUGAUUCAUUUCAGAUAGGAAAGAAAUUAUUGCCAAAUAUUGAAAUCUUGUAUCUACAUUCCAUGAAACAAUAGUCAAUAUGUAUAAUCAACUAAAGAUAAGAUAAUUUCUUUAUUUUUGUUUUAUUCUUUUUAAUAGUCUACAGAAUUUGAAACUUUGUCUGGCAAAUCGUAUGUUCAACCUUGCUUUUGUUCUUCUAGUUGGUGGGUUUAUUAAAUUUUGUGCUAGCUCUUAGUCUAUUGUAUUUGGGUGGAGAUGCACUUUAAUUUUUUUUGCCUCUUCCAUGAGUGUUUUCCUUUUCAUAUGCUUGACAAAGUACAAAUUUUUAACACAAAGUUACUCCUUGAUUUGAAUAUCUUGGCAUAAGUUUAUGAUUUGAGAGAGAUUGAUAUGCAGUUAAAGCUAUUUUAAAAAUGUACAACUGUAAAUUUAUUUUGCACAGUUAAGAAAUGGAAGGGCAGAUGCCAUGUGAUAACAGUUCUAGGUCAUUAUCAAAAUUAUGAUUUUUGACUUUGUCUCAAGUAAAAGAUGACAUUUUGUUGGUAACAUACCAAAAUAUAAUUUUUCUCUUUGUCCUAAGUGUAUUAAGCCUUUCAUUAAAUAGAAAUUGAAAUUUUCCUUUCCUUACGACAUAGUUAAGACUUUUCAUGUUUUUAACGACUUAGACGAGUUUUGAGAUAGGUUGACAUGUGAUUUCCUUCCUUUCCUUCUGAUUUUUAUUAAUUACCAUUUCCUUAUGACAUGUGACAUAGGAAAUUCAACCAUUUUCUUCUUGUAUCUUGUAGUUAGUUAUAGAAAAGUUGUUAGGCCAGGAGGAGUGCCUAUAUGAACUGACUAUGUCAAUGCAAUAUAAGUUGCAUAUGCCUUAUUAUCUACUCUGAGCUCAUGUUUGCUUAUGACCUUUUUUCCUUACAUAUUUAAAUAGAAGGAUAAAUCAUAUCACAACUAAUGCUAUUUGGCAUGAUUUCCGAUCUUAAACCAAAGAGAAAAUACUACUCUAGUAGAUUUCACUUUUUUAUGCAAAAUCCUUAUUACAGAGAAGUACUUAACAAACCAGAUUCAUAGGAAAACAUCUUGGGAAGUUACUGGUAUAUGCUAUUUUUUUCUUUAGUAUCAAAAUCUGUUAAUAAAAUUAUUUUCGUUCACUGAACACCAGAUAUGUUUCAGUAAGUUUCAUAAUACACAGUAAAAUUUAGCUUAAAUUUCUCGCUUACUCUGUUGUUGAUCACCAUAUAAAGGUUCCAUUGCUGACAAGAUAGCAUAGUGUGAGUUUAUAGCUUGAGAUAAGAACUAGAAGGAAAAUGUAAUUAAUGUUCCUUCUACUAGAUAUAACUGAAUAUGUGUCUGGAUCUUUUGGCUGCACAGACAAUUUUACGUUCAAAACUUAAUAUUACUCAUUCCAUUAGGCUUACAAUGAAAAUUCAAUCAAACUUGAAAAAGUCUUUUACACCUUCGGGAAAGCAUACCGGAAGACCCAACUUUCGCUUAAAAUGCCAGUUUGGAUGAGUGUGAAUUUUUUGAAAGACAUUCACUUGCCAUGGUUCUCUCUGAUUGUAGUAGACCUUUCCUUUUCAUAUGCUUUCCUUUAGUACUUGGCUUAAGAUCAACUCUUUUUUGUAUGCAUGCAUAUAUUACUGUUAUUCUUUAUUUUUUUAAUAGCAAGGAGAUAGUACUUCAACAAAAUUAAGUUGCUCAAGGAGUAGCCUGAAGACAUUAGAGUAACUUGAAGAUAUUGGAAUAGUUUGAAGACGUAUUCCUUUGGGUUUGUUUCUUAAAAUAGCGAAGGAUAAGGUUAUUCAAUAAGUAGGAGUUCGAACACAUUUGAUGUUAUUUUUUCCAUGUGUAUGUGCAGUGACAGUGUAUUAUAGAGCGUAAUGUACUUUGUUGCAGACUAUUUGGUAAUGAAAAGUUUCUAUACAGUUUUAUUUAAGAGUAUCCAUGGUGUUCAUUAUAAUGAUAAUGCUAUUGGUAAAUUAGCAAGAAUACUAUUGGCUAUUGCAUUAUUAUUAUUUUUGUAAAAACAAAGAGGCUUUAGUGGCGACUCUAGCUACCACAAAAAGAAAAUCCUACUGUGGCAACAAGAAAAAUGCUACUGAAUGUCAUUUAUAGCGACUACAGUCGCCACUAUAUGUCACUAUUUAGUAACGACCCGCCUAAAUUAAAUUUUGUGAAACAUGUUUUUGAGGCCACCUCAGUCUCUACAAAAUGUGUAGUAUUUGUGGCGACUCUCUAGAGUUGCCACAAUAAACGUUCAAUAACGGUAGUGCUUGGAGCGAGCCCAUAGUCGCUGCUAAAAACUAGUGGCGACUUUCUUACCAUUUGUGGCGACAUUAGCUGCCGCAAAAAGGCCGAUUUCUUGUAGUACGGGGCGGGUUAGGUGCCAUCACGACUAGUUUGAUUUUGGGUCGUGACAGAAAUUGAUUAUGGAAUUGAGAAUAAAUUAUAUAUUUUAGUUCAUGAGAUCAUGGGUAAAAAUUAUCUUCGAACAUUUUCGGAAUCCGGGCACGUGGGCCGGAGCCUCGGUGAUGAUUAUUAUGUACAUUCUGAAUUGAGUUGGAAAAUUACUCUAAUAGAUGAAUUAUGAACUUUUGAGCAUAUAUUGAUUAGUUUGUACGACUUUUGAUUAGUUUCGGAUUGCUCAACGUCGUUUGGGGAUUUCUAGUGAGGUUUAAGAGUCGGGUAGUGAGUUUGGAAGAGAGGUAAGUCUAUUGCCUAAUCUUUUAAGAGGGAAUCAUCCCCAUGAGUGUAUUAAUCGUUGUGUGCUACUUGUUGUGGGAGCUACGUACUCACAAGGUGACAAGAGUUUAUACGUAGCUAGAUUCAUGCUUAUGUUCGGGUAGACUUAGAUUCACAUCAUGCUUUAAAUGUACUAUUUGGAUUAAUCUUGUUUGUUUGAUUUUUUUAAUUUACGACUGAGAUUGAGACUAGAAUAAAAUUAAUGAUCAAGCCUCUUACCUUGGAAAUUGUGAAAUAUUAAUGAAUGAUAGUUCCGUGUCUUCACGACUCGCAUGUAUUUUCGCGAGUGAGAGAGUUUCUCUAUUCUUAUGGGAUCGGGCCGUUCGCCUCGGCAGUGUUAUAAGUUAUUCUUAUGGGAUCGGGCCAUUUGGCUCGGCAGAAUUAUGUAACAUUAUUCUAAUAGGAUCGGACCAUUCGCCUCGGCGGUGUUAUGUAACACUAUUCUUAGGAGAUCGGGCCAUUCACCUCGGCAGUAUUGUGUAACACUAUUCUUAUGGGAUCGGGUCGUUCACCUCGGCAUACUUGUGUGUGACACUUGGGAUUGAUUUGGUAUUGAUAUCAGUUGAUUUUGUUCCUUCGGGUCUAGUUAGGACAUCUUAGUGAUUUUGUAAGGAUCCAUGUUGGAAAUUUAUUAUUAAAGUUUAUCUGUUUCGUUGUUACUUGUUGCAUUUCAUACCUGUCUAUUUUAUAUAUUUUUAUUAUUUUGACCACUAGUAAGUGUCAAGUCGACUCAUCAUCACUACUUCUUCGAGGUUAUACUAGAUACUUACCGGGUAUGCGUUGAUUUACGUAUUCAUGCUACACUUCUGCACUGAUUGUGCAGGUACUGAUUCAGGUACUUCCAGUGGUCACACGAGCGCGUAAACGCAUCAGGGAGACUUAGUGGUGAGCUGCCUUCCAUACAUCAAUCUGCAGCACUCGGAGUCUUCCUCUAUCUUAUUCACUGUUUCUGUCUAUUUCAUUUCAUACAAUAGCUAUAGUAGUUAUGUAUAUUCCCUAUAUUGCUCAUGCACUUGUGACAUCGGGUUUUGGGGGCUUCUAUUGGACUUUCACAGUUGUACUUAUUGUUACUAUCACUUUACUUUAUGUACUAUUCGUACCCGUUAUUUUUGUAAAGUAGUGCUUAUGUUUCUAUGAGUUUUAUGUUUAAUUUAUAUUUAUUUAAAUGAAAUUUUCUAAGUUUAAA